UCUGAAGAACAGCAUUCUGGGUAUGAAGAUGCUGAUGAGCUUCUUUCAGCAAAAUCUGCAGAAAGAGCCACACCUGAAUACCAUAAUGAUUUAUCCACCACUAAAGGCCCAACAGAAGAGCAACAAAUCACACCAGAGAACUAUGAUGAUGUAAUCACUGUUGGACUGAGACAUCAUGCUACAG
Molecule: long non-coding RNA, 184 nt
Organism: Sinocyclocheilus grahami
Lineage: Eukaryota; Metazoa; Chordata; Actinopteri; Cypriniformes; Cyprinidae
Exons: 3
Source: RefSeq, a predicted model, not a curated record